This is a long non-coding RNA of Triticum aestivum (bread wheat), 3519 nucleotides long. RefSeq lists it as uncharacterized. Lineage: Eukaryota; Viridiplantae; Streptophyta; Magnoliopsida; Poales; Poaceae. The transcript is spliced from 10 exons. The record is from RefSeq and is a predicted model, not a curated record.
CACGCACGAGCGAGACUGCCCUCGAGCGAAAUCAAAUGAACGAGGCCCCCUCGACUCCUUUCUCGAUCUGUUUCCUAGGGUGUGAACGCCGCCGCCGCUGAUCCCAUCUUCCCCAGCGCCUAGAUCCGCAGCCGCCGGCCAUCGAGGUCGUCCAUGGAGGUCCGACCCUCCCUUUAGCCAUGGACUGAGACGCCCGAAACCCUAGCUACCCGUGGAGGUCCAACGCCUCAACCUCCAAGGAAAGGACGCGCGCCGGCUGCAGGCCAUCUCCGGCGACCUCCGACCAUGAUUGCUCGGAUCUGGACCAGCUGCUGCUCCUACUGCUUCAGGUGGACGAGGACGAGCCCUCCCUCAUGGCUGCUGCGGCUGCCUACUCCCUUGGUCACCACGCCCCUCCCGUGCCUGGGGUCUCCUUUCUCUCCCGCAGCGGCCGCAGUAGGCGCGUGUGGCUAGAAGGGUUGAGGGAGCGAGGUCAGUGCCCUCAGGGCGGACGCGGCUGGAGGUCAACGACGAGCAAGGGGCACGGCGGCGGCAGGUGGCUGCUGUAGCAGAACCAGCCAUCUUCCUGAUCCAGGCUGCCCAGGCAGGUUCCAGCCGGGCAUCCGCUGGCCACGCGCAUAAAUGUAUCAGGAAUGAGCCGGCCGUUCUACAGUCUGGAAUAUAAUCGGACGAAGAGCGGAGGAAAGUGGACCAUGAACAAUGGCGUGGCUCCGUAAUGUGGGACACCUCGCCAUUGAGGCGAGCGGCGGCUGCAUAUCCCACACCACACUUACCAUCUGCACGGGGGGCCAUGGCCAAGCGAUGAAUUUUGCUCUGCACCUAGCUGGGAGUUUCUGCCUUGGCCUGCUCUUGACCAGCGGGAUGUGAACAUUGUCCGAGGUUGCCAAACCAGAUGAAAGAACAGGGAAAGACAUUGAGCUCACUGCCAAAGAUUGUUAUUCUGCGAAGAUAUAUCUCAUCUCUAAUUAUAGUAUUUCGUAGUGUCAUGCUGAUUAUAUAGUUCAUCUUUGGCCUUGCACCGUGGUUGUGGUAAUAUUUGUUGUUUUUUCCUACCUGUACAGUUUAGGUCGGGUUUGAUCAUCUCCCCAGUACCCCAUGCCUGGCUCCCUUAAUGUUCAUAUUCCACAUUUCCUUUUUCACUAACUAGUCUCUCCAGUCUGACCUAUGCGUUUGUGUUAAUGUGUCAACAAACUUAAUUUAUUUGAAAACUAGACAUUGCAUUUCAAAAUUCGUUACAGUAUAAAGAACAAGAAAUCCAUCAUUGCAAAGAUGACAAAUAUAUAACAAAAGCAUGCACUGAACUAUUCCGAUUGUUUUUUUUAGAAUAACAAACUCAUGAGUUGGUUCAGGUAGAUAUGCGACUAUGUCAUCGACAUCGAUAUAACAAUAUAUAUUCAUUGGUCCAUUUCAAACAAUCAGAAUAUAUACUUAUGUGAAGCAGAGAGGGCACCAUGGAGAAGGUGAGGUGGGCAUCAUCCAGUUUUAAAGGGGAGGGCUCCAGCAAGAAAUGUACCGCUACGGCGAGAAACCGAGCUGGAAAGGGAGCGUCCAGCAGAAAAAUGGCAGGGUGCGUCAGGGGGUGGCAUUUUGCAGAAUGGUCUGGGGAGGUUCGCAACAUUGUCUACUCAUCUGAUGGGAAAAUCUCUAUCUGUUGCGUAUCGUGUGACUAUGGAACUGAUGCAGAGUUUGUAGGUCCUACUAUUUGAUUAGUGGAUGCGACUGAUGGGGGCAUGGAGAUGAUGGCGAGGCAUCGUGUUGUGGUGGCGGUGAUGAAGGUAACCUCGUCGAUGGCGGCGGCGACGGGUGGCUGUUGACGAAAGCGAUUCGGGGAUGGGGGAUGUGGAGUGGCAAGGGAUGGAGGCGUAGAACUGCAGCCGGGGAGACGGAGUGGCGGCAAGAUUGGACGAGCUCGCCUGCGGAGUGCGUGGGCAAGAUUUCCCUUUCCGGGUCAAACGAGGGCUUCCUUCUAUGUGUAUGUGUUUGUGUGUGUGCGCGCACACACAUGCGUGAGUUCACACUGAUAUUCCACUAAGUACAGCGCAUGCUUAACUGAAAUUCUAGACAAAAGUUCACAUCCGGUUGGUACAUGUAAGAAGCUCAUUUCUAAUUUAUCAGGUGGCAUAAAUAGACCAUAAAAUUAUCUUCAUUUAUAGUGCUAAAGAUAUGCCAAUACAUUUUCUUACGUUUAGGGUCCUAAACCUGUUGAAUGAAUUCUAUAUACAAGACUUACAGUUGUCCUUCUAUAAAUUAAGACUGAAUUUGCUAAUCUUUGUUGUAUUGCUAUUGAUGAGUCUAUAAUUGUCAACCUUGACAGUAACAAAACUCAAGAUAGUUUUAUCUCUUAGUGUGAGCAAAUAAGAUUUUUUAAGAGCUUUCCUUUGGAAUAUUUUUCUAUUACAGAAGUUGAUGCUCGAUAUUUUUAUCCAUUCCUGAUAUCAUUUCUUGAUCUACUACAUCAUUAACAAGAGCUUGCGAUUGCUUCAGGGAUUCUACGGAUGUUCUCCCAUAACCUCUUGAAGUGAUGCAAUGCGACGAUCUUCAACCAUGAAAAUGAAACUGCCAGCGUGGACGGAAACUGCCAGCAUGGACGGCCUACUCCUAUGAUCUCACAGGUUCUUGCUUACACUGGGAAUGAUGAGGCUAACAAGUUUUUCCUUGGAGGUGAGAUGUCACUUGACAACACGAAGCUUCAGCUGCAGCAGCGUCUUGCCUGCGUCAUAUAUUUUGUAUUAUGUUUUUGUGGGCAUGGUUCUGAACUUUGGCAUCGAUGGAUAGAAUUUCGUCCAAACUAUAAUGUUGUUGUUCAAGUGUAGGAUAAUUCGUUUUGAUGUCUCUGUUGUGUGUGCGCGGGCAUGUGCCAAAGGCGUCUAAUAGAACCCAGGUGAAGGCGAAGGAGGUUUGGCUCUCAGACAUGUGUAACACUCGAUGAUAACAACGUGCAGACUGAAAAUAUGGAUCCCAAUUUCAAAGCCAUAUCCAAUUAGUUUGUCUCUCAAAAAAAUACAACAAAUGCUAAAGGAUGAUUUACCCAUGGAGGCAUGGACCGAGAUUGCUUUAAUUUGGUCGUACGGAAGAUUAUGUUUGAUGACAUCCAAAUGGCACAAAAAACAAAACAAUUAAUAGACAAACAUUAUCUCGACAUGAAAUUUUGGACUUGCUUGCUGGUGGCUGGUGCCCUGCAGGGACCAGGUGGUGCCGUCGGCCGCGGCGCCGCCGCCACCGUCGUUGCAGCAGCUAGGCCGGGAGUAGCCGAGCAGGGAAGAAGCAUAAUUGUUUUCUAUAUUCUGCUCCUCCCACCGACCAGUUGAGGGUUGGAGUCAUCGGACAGCGCCGUCAGGCGUCAGCUAAGUUAAAGAAUUGAGAAUUGGACGACUGGCCGGUUCGUACGGCUGCUCUUAGUGCUCUGCCGAUUUGGCCUUCGGAUUGUUGCCUGCUUAACUGCUUGUGGGAUGUAUAAGCACAAAAAACAGUUCAAAAAAUUACAAAUGAAAUAUAAUAUUUCAAAAAAAUGUUCAUCAC